GACGAACCGAGCGAACGUUGUUCGGAAUCACUGGGCUUAAAGGGCGCGUAGGCGGGCUGUCAAGUCUGGGGUGAAAUCCCGCGGCUCAACCGUGGAACUGCCUCAGAUACUGACGGCCUCGAGGGGGGUAGGGGCGAGCGGAACGGAUGGUGGAGCGGUGAAAUGCGUUGAUAUCAUCCGGAACUCCGGUGGCGAAGGCGGCUCGCUGGACCUUUUCUGACGCUGAGGCGCGAAAGCCAGGGGAGCAAACGGG
Molecule: ribosomal RNA, 253 nt
Filed under: uncultured bacterium
Lineage: Bacteria
Description: partial 16S ribosomal RNA
Rfam family: Bacterial small subunit ribosomal RNA
Source: RNAcentral